This 72-nucleotide transfer RNA is filed under the name Evansella caseinilytica. It matches the Rfam family "tRNA". Rfam says of the family: Transfer RNA (tRNA) molecules are approximately 80 nucleotides in length. Their secondary structure includes four short double-helical elements and three loops (D, anti-codon, and T loops). The record is from Rfam by way of RNAcentral. Lineage: Bacteria; Bacillati; Bacillota; Bacilli; Caryophanales; Bacillaceae.
GCUAGCCUAUUUCAUUUGGUAGAGCAACUGAAUUGUAAUCAGUAGGUAGGGGUUUAAAUCCUCUGGCCAGCA